This 459-nucleotide long non-coding RNA is filed under the name Salmo salar (Atlantic salmon). RNAcentral describes it as "lncRNA (ENSSSAG00000110259.1)". The record is from RNAcentral. Lineage: Eukaryota; Metazoa; Chordata; Actinopteri; Salmoniformes; Salmonidae.
GGUAGUAGAGGUACUACAGGAGGUACUACAGGGGGUAGUAGAGGUACUAGAGGAGGUACUAGAGGAGGAAGUAGAGGUACUACAGGAGGUACUAGAGGAGGAAGUAGAGGUACUAGAGGAGGAAGUAGAGGUACUAGAGGAGGAAGUAGAGGUACUAGAGGAGGAAGUAGAGGUACUAGAGGAGGAAGUAGAGGUACUAGAGGAGGAAGUAGAGGUACUAGAGGAGGAAGUAGAGGUACUAGAGAGACUAGAGAAGAAAUAAGAGCUGAGACCAUUUUCUUCUAGUUGACCUAUGAUCACCUGGGUUACACCAAGAAAACCAUGACAAACCAUUUACCAUGGUCAAGAUAAGGUCUGGGUUGGGUUUAAGAUUUUGGUAAGGGACAAUUAGAUAUAUUAUAACAAAAAGGCAGUGGGUCAUCUCCCCUCUUACCUUCUCAUAGUACUGGAUGUUGUGGU